AUGAACGCUAGCGGCAGGCUUAACACAUGCAGGUCGAGGGGCAGCAUAAUGGAUAGCAAUAUCUAUGGUGGCGACCGGCGCACGGGUGCGUAACGCGUAUGCAACCUACCUUUAACAGGGGGAUAACACUGAGAAAUUGGUACUAAUACCCCAUAAUAUCAUAGAAGGCAUCUUUUAUGGUUGAAAAUUCCGAUGGUUAGAGAUGGGCAUGCGUUGUAUUAGCUAGUUGGUGGGGUAACGGCUCACCAAGGCGACGAUACAUAGGGGGACUGAGAGGUUAACCCCCCACACUGGUACUGAGACACGGACCAGACUCCUACGGGAGGCAGCAGUGAGGAAUAUUGGUCAAUGGACGCAAGUCUGAACCAGCCAUGCCGCGUGCAGGAUGACGGCUCUAUGAGUUGUAAACUGCUUUUGUACGAGGGUAACCGCAGAUACGUGUAUCUGUCUGAAAGUAUCGUACGAAUAAGGAUCGGCUAACUCCGUG
RNAcentral lists this ribosomal RNA (487 nucleotides) under uncultured bacterium. RNAcentral describes it as "partial 16S ribosomal RNA". It matches the Rfam family "Bacterial small subunit ribosomal RNA", at positions 29 to 507 of the family's 1533-position model. The record is from RNAcentral.